Oryzias melastigma (Indian medaka) is the source of this 2006-nucleotide long non-coding RNA. RefSeq lists it as uncharacterized. Lineage: Eukaryota; Metazoa; Chordata; Actinopteri; Beloniformes; Adrianichthyidae. The record is from RefSeq and is a predicted model, not a curated record. The transcript has 3 exons.
AAAAGAAAUUUUAAUCUGAAAAUUUCAGUUUCAAAACUUUUGGCCCCGCUGUGAUGCGCUGUGGCGGGGCUAACACGGAGGACCAAUAUAAAUCGACGAGGGUGGUCACAGUACAGGCAAUACAGCCAUUUUCUGACCAUAAUUAUCGGUGAAAACACAGGGACUGAAGUUAUCAGCUUUAUCCAUUUUGAUUGGUUCUUGGCGUUAGCCCCGCCCCAAAGUGCCACAAUGGGGUCAAAAGUUUUGAAACUGAAAUGUUCAGAUUCACAAGUGAAAAAAAGUAAAAAUUAAAAAAAAAGUUUGAAAUUGAAAUUUUGAGUUUGGAAAGCUAAAGAUUAGAGCAUUUGAAGCUGAAUAUAAUUCUUUUUAUUUUAGAAUAGCAAAAAGUUUCAGAUAUUUUACUUUUUUUUUUUUGGCCAAACACCAAUCUUUUCUUAAUUUAUUUUAUUUGGGUUUCAAAUAAUAUUUGGCUCCAUAUAGCCCUGGCCUUUGUUCUGAAAUUUGAUAGCCAGCUCAGCGUUCAUUAGAGACUUUGUUUCUUCUAGGGGUGUAACAGAUCACAAAACCACCGUUCGGAUCGUGUUUCGGUUUUAGAGUCAAUGUUCAGAUUUUUUUUUCGGAUCAGAAAAAAGUAAAAAAAAUACAGCAAAAAAACAAAAUAGAAAUAAGCUAUUUUUGUAAAUGAUAUCAGAAAUAAGGUAUACUAAAGCUAUAAGGGAUAUUAAGAGAGACAAGAGUCAGAAAUAAACCAAUCAGUCAGACUUUACUAAGUUCACAGAAGCUACAACUUGUUUGUAUCACGCCACGUUAGCCACGUUAGCCACGUUAGCCACGUUAGCUGUGUUAGCGUAUUCACAAUACCUGAACACUCCGCUUUGAGAGCGAGUCAAAAAAGACUGAUACCGCUAAAACAAUCAUCACUGUGAUAACACAACUUACAACCUCGUUAUUAACACGUAAAACAAAAACAAACAAAAGAAAAUCAGUUUGAUACGGCUAAAUAUUAGCUGCGUUAGCGUAAUAACAGAGUAUUAACCACAGUAACAAACAUUAUGACCUCUCAAAACUGCUUCGACAUGAGUAAGCAAAUUUACAUCCAAGUUCAAAAGAUUAAAUUAGGAACGCGAAACAAAGGGAAGACGCUGCUAUCUGUUUGAAAAAUAUUUAAAAUAUAAUUACUUAAAGAAACUGCCAAUAUCCUGACCUCUGUAAUGUGUUUCCUCUGAGUUCCCAUACCUAACUGUUUCUACCAAUUGGCUCUGUGCUUCCUCUGCUGUAUUUGUGUCUGCUCCGUUGUGGUUUGUAGAAGUAUUUCUGCGCGUGCAGCCAUCCUGUUACCAAACGUCGUUUUUGUUUACCUGUGAGAGGAAGGCCCGUUCCUGCCAGAAUGACCUCCACUUCCCGACUGAAACACCAGAAAGUCCAAUAAAAUCAAGAACUUCCCUCUGGAUUUGUCUUUCCAUCUGAAAACAUAAGAGAAACGCGGCCUGGUCUCCUGUAUUUGGGUCCUCCACCACCAUUUCCUGACAACAAUGGUUCGUUCCAUUUUCAUGAUGUCCGUUGAGAUGGCUACACGAGUGGAACUGCACCCGUGCUCCUCUUUAGGACACUCUACAGGCCCGGACAACCCAGGAACCUACAGCCCCCGUAUGGGUCGACCCUCCUUAUGAUGCAUGUGAUCGUGGCUUUAAGCAGAGAUGUGUUUUUUUACAUGAAACUCCUGCUGAUAAUGAAGGACUUUGACUGCAGUGGUCUUCACGCUGGACGUGUGAAACGGCUGGUGUAGCGUGUUGACAGAACUGCAGUGAUUUGUGCAUUACCCUGCAGGCGUUUGCUUCACUUCCACCUCAAGCAGGAGCAUUGAUUUUCCUUACAUGACAAACAAAUGAUGUACAGUUAAAAAGCUUAGGGGGACAUAUUAAAUUCUUCCUCCUUUAUUCCCUAAUGUUUUUUUCCUUUGGUCCUUUUCAAGGUGUAAUUUACCGCUCGCCGCAGCCGCCACCUUU